GCCAGCCAGGCCCCCCCUAAAUUACUUCUUUUUAACAAUGAUGCUUGGAUUAGACAUCAAAUAGUUAACUGUUUUCUUAGUUAUUUUUUUGUUGACAAAUUUUGGAGACGUGCUUGCUUCUAUUAAACCAACGAAUUUGAAUUAAUUUUUACUUAUCAAAGAUUAUCGCAGAUCGUGUGAACUUGAAAAAAUAUUUGGGUUACUUUCUACAUUUCUGAGAGUAUACUUGAUUUAUAUAAACAAAUUUCUUUAAGCCAAUUAAAAUAGAGUUCUUUACAAAUUAGUUUUGGCAAUACCAUCCAGAGGUAGAAAAAUAUCACACGUCUAUAAUGUACAUACACAGACACACAGAUAACCUGACACGCAGAGCUCUUCCAGCUUGUGUUUUAAAAAGUUUAGCCGUGUCUCGGAUACAAAACUCAAAAAAACUAGAUCCAAACUGUGUUUCUGGCACAUGCACUAAGUUAAGGUUACAUGGUCAGAUGACCAAAGUUUUUACGAAAGAUUUGUAUUUGCAUGCUACAUGCAAGGAUCCUUCCAGAACUGUUUUUUGAGGUCAUUUUGUCUUUUAGAAGCUUCUCGGCCUCUCUCUCCAUCCGGUCUCCUGGUUUGUGAGAUGAGACUUUCAGCCCCGGGAAUCUCUGGGAUACCUUCCAUGGCCAGCCCUCUACGAUUCUAACAGCUAAGGACGUUUCAUCUGCCGGAAUAUUCUCUCUCCCACCCCUCCUGUAUUUUAGGGUCCCUGUGAAACUGUGCACACCGUAUCUAUCAAGCUCACUGCCUAGAAAGGGGGCCCAGUCAGCCCAGCGUGCGUGAGACGCUGGAAGGAGCCGGGGCGCAUCUCGGCGUGGGGCAGGGGCACUCCGAGGCCAGAAGGGGUGAUGCAGUUACAGGAGAAGCAGCGGGCGCAAGGACUCUCUGACCUCCUUUGUGCCCUGGAAGCAGGACCUAAGUGUCCCCCGUGAAGGUCCGCGUCCUGUCCCGGGAGGAAGGGAGACAGCCUUCUUGCCAGCGAUGGGGACGUCAAGGCCGAGAAGGCUGUGUAAGCAAACCGGCUACUUCUUCGCUGCUUCGCUACCCCAAGCCCCAGCUUCUGUCAGUGCUUCACAGAUUCAUGGUUUCUUUGUCUAAAAGGUGUAAAAGCUGCUAGCUUGGCUCACUUCUUGGAGUCUCCUAUUUCUAUGGGCUCCCAUACGUACACAAUUAAAUUUGUUUUUCUCCUGUUAA
Molecule: non-coding RNA, 1227 nt
Organism: Leptonychotes weddellii (Weddell seal)
Lineage: Eukaryota; Metazoa; Chordata; Mammalia; Carnivora; Phocidae
Source: RefSeq, a predicted model, not a curated record